RNAcentral lists this ribosomal RNA (301 nucleotides) under uncultured bacterium. RNAcentral's name for it is "partial 16S ribosomal RNA". It matches the Rfam family "Bacterial small subunit ribosomal RNA", at positions 509 to 809 of the family's 1533-position model. The record is from RNAcentral.
CAGCAGCCACGGUAAGACAGAGGUGCCAAGCGUUAGGCGGAAUCACUGGGCUUAAAGCGUGUGUAGGCGGAUGCCUAAGUACCUUGUGAAAUCCCACGGCUUAACCGUGGAACUGCUCGGUAUACUGGGUGUCUUGAGCUGACUAGGGGCUACCGGAACAAGUGGUGGAGCGGUGAAAUGCGUAGAUAUCACUUGGAACGCCAAUGGUGAAAACAGGUGGCUGGGGUCAUGCUGACGCUGAGACACGAAAGCUAGGGGAGCAAACGGGAUUAGAUACCCCCGUAGUCCCUGUCUCUUAUAA